UAUGUGAUCGUCUCUCGCAUAUCAAUAAGCGGAGGAAAAGAAACUAACAAGGAUUCCCCUAGUAAACGGCGAGUGAAGCGGGAAGAGCUCAAAUUUGAAAUCUUAAAGGGUUUCCCUUUACGAAUUGUAGUUUAAAGAAGUGUUUUCUGUUGAGGUUUUGGUAAAAGUUCUUUGGAAUAGGACAUCAUAGAGGGUGGGAAUCCCGUAUUUGACCUUUACUUUCAACUUUGUGAUACACUUUCAAAGAGUCGGAUUGUUUGGGAAUGCAGUCCAAAAUGGGUGGUAAAUUUCAUCUAAAGCUAAAUAUUGGCGAGAGACCGAUAGCGAACAAGUACCGUGAGGGAAAGAUGAAAAGAACUUUGAAAAGAGAGUUAAACAGUACGUGAAAUUGUCAAAAGGGAAGCGUUUGACACCAGUGUUGUUUUUCUGAAAAUCAAUUAAAGAACUGUUUAUGCUAAGCUGUUUAGACUUUAUCAGCUAUCUGUUUAGUUUUGAGCUUUUCUUUAAUGCACUUUUCAGUUAACAAGUCAACAUCAAUUUCUUUUGCUGUAAAAAAGCUUGAGGAAGGUGGCUUGAGAUUCGUCUUAAGUGUUUAUAGCCUCUUGCCUAUGCAGUCGGAGAGAUUGAGGUCUGCAGCGUAGAUCCUUCGGGGCUAAAUGCAUUUGUGCUAAGUUAUAGCAUUUUAUAGACAACUUGUUGACUAUGAUUUGUCUUGUAGCUUACUCGCUUAUGUUAUUUUACCUACGCUUAGGAUGUUGAGCGCAUGUCUCUCUCU
RNAcentral lists this ribosomal RNA (775 nucleotides) under uncultured Neocallimastigales. Its description in RNAcentral is "partial large subunit ribosomal RNA". It matches the Rfam family "Eukaryotic large subunit ribosomal RNA", at positions 24 to 616 of the family's 3401-position model. The record is from RNAcentral. Lineage: Eukaryota; Fungi; Neocallimastigomycota; Neocallimastigomycetes; Neocallimastigales.